Molecule: ribosomal RNA, 481 nt
Filed under: uncultured bacterium
Lineage: Bacteria
Description: bacterial SSU rRNA
Rfam family: Bacterial small subunit ribosomal RNA
Source: RNAcentral
AAAUGAAUUGACGGGGGCUCGCACAAGCGGUGGAGCGCGUGGCUUAAUUCGUAGCUAAGCGAAGAACCUUACCAGGGUUAGAAAUCCUACUGCACGCCUCGUGAAAGCGAGGAAUCUUUCGAAGGUGUAGGACAGGUGAUGCAUGGCUGUCGUCAGUUCGUGAUUUGAAUUGUUCCCUUCAGUGGGGUAACGAACGCAACCCUCGUUGUCUGUUACACGUAGUCAGACGAGACUGCCCCCUCACGGGGGAGGAAGGUGAGGAUGACGCCAAGUCCGCAUGUCCCUUUGACAUCCUGGGCUGCACGCGCGCUACAAUCGCCAUUACAGAGGGCCGCAAUAUCGUAAGAUGGAGCAAAUCCCAAAAGAUGGCGUCAGUUCGGAUUGAGGUCUGCAACUCGACCUCAUGAAGCUGGAAUCGCUAGUAAUCGCGGGUCAGAACACCGCGGUGAAUACGUUCUCGAGCCUUGUACACACCGCCCGU